UGUUCCCACCUUCUGAUGUUGU
Molecule: microRNA, 22 nt
Filed under: Branchiostoma floridae (Florida lancelet)
Lineage: Eukaryota; Metazoa; Chordata; Leptocardii; Amphioxiformes; Branchiostomatidae
Also listed under: 1 other name
Description: bfl-miR-4873
Source: miRBase by way of RNAcentral